RNAcentral lists this ribosomal RNA (226 nucleotides) under uncultured bacterium. RNAcentral's name for it is "partial 16S ribosomal RNA". It matches the Rfam family "Bacterial small subunit ribosomal RNA", at positions 538 to 763 of the family's 1533-position model. The record is from RNAcentral.
GCGUUGUUCGGAUUUACUGGGCGUAAAGGGCGCGUAGGCGGCGUAUCAAGUCACUUGUGAGAUCUCCGGGCUUAACUCGGAACGGUCAAGUGAUACUGAUGUGCUAGAGUACAGAAGGGGCAAUCGGAAUUCUUGGUGUAGCGGUGAAAUGCGUAGAUAUCAAGAGGAACACCAGAGGCGAAGGCGGAUUGCUAGGCUGAUACUGACGCUGAGGCGCGAAAGCUAG